GGGACGCAGAGGUCUUCCUCCUCCGGGCUGCUCGGACAUCACAGUCCUCCAGCUGCCUACGUCUGUGAGGGGCCAAGCAGCUCCAUCAGUCCCUCCACGGAAGCACCGAGGGUUGCCAGAGGGAGAGAUCGCUGCCACCGGAGCUGUCCUGACCUCAGAGUUUUAGGGACCUGCUUAGCCUCCCCUUCCUGA
This 192-nucleotide long non-coding RNA is filed under the name Ictidomys tridecemlineatus (thirteen-lined ground squirrel). RNAcentral describes it as "lncRNA (ENSSTOG00000034046.1)". Lineage: Eukaryota; Metazoa; Chordata; Mammalia; Rodentia; Sciuridae. The record is from RNAcentral.